GACAGAGUGACUGGAAACAUUUUUUUCCCCCUGUUAAAAGAGCUCAGCCUGGAAAUUAACAUGCAAGAAAUUCAGGAUGAUUUAUACACACCUAAGACAUCAUCAUUUAUGUAAAUGGCUCUUCCCAGUUCUCUUAGGCACAAUUACUCCCAAAAGUUGCUUGUUUGCAAAGAAAGAAAUGGCACAGGACCAUCUGAUGGUCUUGCCUUGAGAAUGUUCUGCAAUAAUAUUAAGGAAAAAUCCACCACGCCUCUUAGGAAAAGGGAAGCUAGACUCUGGCCCUAGACCCAAGUUAAGGAUCCAGUUUUUUCUGGUACAGAGUUUCCUUUCAGUCAGUCAGAGGCUAUCCUCCCCAAAGGAACGACAAAGGGUGUUUUUGAGGAGCAUCGUGGGAGUUUCCUAAGAGAUGGGCUGGAGAGGGGCAGUGACGUUAAGUUCUCUGUCUCUGCCUGAGAGACACAGCUCUUAGUGAUUCUGAGUAACCAGGGAAGACUCAGCUGGACCAAAGCUGGAGGGUGUUUUACACAGUCCUAGAGGAGGAGAAAAGAACGAUAUUUUUCCAAGCUUUUCUGGAGCAAAAGAUGCUUGAGGGAGUGAAAGAGAGAUUAUGAGAGAGAAGGAACCUGUUCACACCCAGUGGACUUCCCAAUAUUGCUAGCAAGAGGGCUCAUCAGGCAACCAAGGUGAGAACACAGAGUCUCUAAAAUGUCUACACACAACAAGGCCAAAGUUUUCUUAAUUUCUUUGAGUAUGGUCACUUUUGCAGUUAUGGUGGUGAUGAACGGUGCGGCAGGUUCUGGAGCAUUCAAAGGUAUAUUCCAGAGAACUGUUGGAAACAUCUCCAGCAAGUAUAACACCAACUUGACCCCAGCUGGCUGGACCUUCUUCAUUUGGAACAUCAUUUAUUUGUGGCAGUUAGCUUGGCUUGGCUACGCUGCAUCUGGACUCUGCAGAAGCAAUGAACUUGGAUGGUUCUACAUGAAACCAGAUGUCUUGCCAACUCCGUUUUACAUGGUGUGGAUCCUGAAUAACGCCUUGAAUGUUGGAUGGCUGUUUCUAUGGGACAAAGAAUACCUCAGCCCUGCUCUGCUUAUCCUCACAGGGCUCACAGGUUCCAAUUAUGUGAUUCUCUCCUUGGCUUGUCGAGGACUCCAUUCCCACAGAACCUGGCUCCAGAAUCACCAUAGGAUUGACCUGUGUCUCCUCCGCAUUCUGGUGCAGAAUGGGAUUGCGAUUUAUGCUACAUGGACCACAGUGGCAACACUAUUGAAUUUUGCAGUUGUGUUGGUAUACAGUGUGGGAGUGGCCAACCAAACUUCCACUACUGUUGUCCUGUCUAUUCUCCUCAUGCUGCUGGUGCUCUGGUUCUACCUGGAAAACUUCCUCCUGGAUAAGUAUGUACGUUACAUCCUCACUGUAUACCCGGUGGUCAUGGUCGCAUUGUCCGGCAAUAUUGCUCAGCACUAUAAUACAUCUGCUCCAACAAGAAACAACAUCUUUGCAGUUGUCCUGAUGGCUGUGACAAGUGUGAUGUUUUUGGUUCGGCUUGGUCUAGUUACUUGCAGGCAUCGCUAUCAGCCGCUUACUAUGAGUGAGUCAUUGUUUCCAGGGCCGGCAAGGCUAGGAGAGAACCUCAGAGAUGCUGAAGAUGACCUUAGGAAAAGAAGCUACAGAUCUCAGGAGAUGGAGCCAGAACACCUUGCUAUGAAGUCAUUCUGAUUACGGGCAAGACCAUUGAGAAUCAAGGCUUUGCCUAAUACCAAACAGUUAUGGAAUACGAAUGAUUGAAACACAUUUAUUCAGCAUUUACUAAGUGCUAACAAUUAUGCUAAUUGUUAGGGAUACAAAUACAAAAGUGAGACCACAUCUUUGUCUUCAAAGGGCUUUUUAGGGGAAAACAAAGCAUAUAGUGGCCCAGGAAUAAUGUUUUGGCCUGGGAAGCAGCAGGAAUGGCAUAUGGAGCCCUAGAGGAAUAAAAAUAACUACUCUUUUUUUUAAAAAAAAAUC
RNAcentral lists this long non-coding RNA (2007 nucleotides) under Vombatus ursinus (common wombat). Its description in RNAcentral is "lncRNA (ENSVURG00010013166.1)". Lineage: Eukaryota; Metazoa; Chordata; Mammalia; Diprotodontia; Vombatidae. The record is from RNAcentral.